UGGGAAAAGCUCAACUUUAAAAUCUGGCAGCUUCGCUGUCCGAGUUGUAGUCUCGAGAAGUGUUUUCCGCGCUGGAUCGUGUAUGAGUCUGUUGGAAUACAGCGUCAUAGAGGGUGAGAACCCCGUUCAUGACACGACUACCAGUGCUUUGUGAUACACUUUCGAU
This 166-nucleotide ribosomal RNA is filed under the name Cystobasidiomycetes sp. RNAcentral describes it as "partial large subunit ribosomal RNA". It matches the Rfam family "Eukaryotic large subunit ribosomal RNA", at positions 99 to 261 of the family's 3401-position model. The record is from RNAcentral. Lineage: Eukaryota; Fungi; Basidiomycota; Cystobasidiomycetes.